GACGGGGGAUGCAAGCGUUAUCCGGAAUCACUGGGCGUAAAGCGUCUGUAGGUGGUGAUGCAAGUCACUGGUGCAAAACUCUGGCUCAACCGGAGGAAAGCCAGUGAAACUGCAUGACUAGAGUGUGGGAGCGGUAGAAGGAAUUCCAUGAGUAGCGGUGAAAUGCGUAGAUACAGGGAAGAACACCGGAGGCGAAAGCGUUCUACUGGAACCCAACUGACACUGAGAGAAGAAAGCUAGGGGAGCGAAUGGG
RNAcentral lists this ribosomal RNA (253 nucleotides) under uncultured bacterium. Its description in RNAcentral is "partial 16S ribosomal RNA". It matches the Rfam family "Bacterial small subunit ribosomal RNA", at positions 524 to 776 of the family's 1533-position model. The record is from RNAcentral.